This 460-nucleotide ribosomal RNA is filed under the name uncultured bacterium. Its description in RNAcentral is "partial 16S ribosomal RNA". It matches the Rfam family "Bacterial small subunit ribosomal RNA", at positions 338 to 795 of the family's 1533-position model. The record is from RNAcentral.
CCUACGGGGGGCAGCAGUGAGGAAUAUUGGUCAAUGGACGAGAGUCUGAACCAGCCAAGUAGCGUGAAGGAUGACUGCCCUAUGGGUUGUAAACUUCUUUUAUAUGGGAAUAAAACGUUCCACGUGUGGGAUUUUGUCUGUACAAUAUGAAUAAAGAUCGGCUAACUCCGUGCCAGCAGCCGCGGUAAUACGGAGGAUCCGAGCGUUAUCCGGAUUUAUUGGGUUUAAAGGGAGCGUAGGUGGAUUGUUAAGUCAGUUGUGAAAGUUUGCGGCUCAACCGUAAAAUUGCAGUUGAAACUGGCAGUCUUGAGUACAGUAGAGGUGGGCGGAAGUCGUGGUGUAGCGGUGAAAUGCUUAGAUAUCACGAAGAACUCCGAUUGCGAAGGCAGUUCACUGGACUGCAACUGACACUGAGGCUCGAAAGUGUGGGUAUCAAACAGGAUUAGAUACCCCGGUAGUC